RNAcentral lists this unclassified non-coding RNA (380 nucleotides) under uncultured bacterium. Its description in RNAcentral is "contains 16S-23S intergenic spacer region". The record is from RNAcentral.
UCCGAGUUGACCCCGGCAGUCUCCCACGAGUCCCCGGCAUAACCCGCUGGCAACAUGGGAUAAGGGUUGCGCUCGUUGCGGGACUUAACCCAACAUCUCACGACACGAGCUGACGACAGCCAUGCAGCACCUCUACACAGACCUCCGAAGAGGGGCUCUCAUCUCUGAGACUUUCCUGUGCAGUUCAAACCCAGGUAAGGUUCUGCGCGUUGCUUCGAAUUAAACCACAUACUCCACCGCUUGUGCGGGCCCCCGUCAAUUCCUUUGAGUUUCGACCUUGCGGCCGUACUCCCCAGGCGGUGUGCUUAUCGCGUUAGCUUCGGCACUGAAGGGGUUAAUACCUCCAACACCCAGCACACAUCGUUUACGGCGUGGACUAC